AAUUUUGGACAAUGGGGGAAACCCUGAUCCAGCCAUCCCGCGUGUAUGAUGAAGGCCUNCGGGUUNUNAAGUACUUUUGGCAGAGNCAAAAAGGCAUCCCCUAAUACGGGAUGCUGCUGACGGUAUCUGCAGAAUAAGCACCGGCUAACUACGUGCCAUCAGCCGCGGUAAUACGUAGGGUGCAAGCGUCAAUCGGAAUUACUGGGCGUAAAGCGUGUGUAGGCGGUGAGGAAAGAAAGAUGUGAAAUCCCAUGGUUCAUCCUUGGAACUGCAUUUUUAACUGCCGAGCUAGAGUAUGUCAGAGGGGAGUAGAAUUCCACGUGUAGCAGUGAAAUACGUAGAUAUGUGGAGGAAUACCGAUGGCGAAGGCAGCCCCCUGGGAUAAUACUGACGCUCAGACACGAAAGCGUGGGGAGCAAACAGG
Molecule: ribosomal RNA, 424 nt
Filed under: uncultured bacterium
Lineage: Bacteria
Description: partial 16S ribosomal RNA
Rfam family: Bacterial small subunit ribosomal RNA
Source: RNAcentral